RNA transcript from Gordionus sp. m RMFG-2023, 700 nucleotides. RefSeq lists it as uncharacterized. NCBI's taxonomy places the organism in Eukaryota, Metazoa, Nematomorpha, Gordioida, Chordodea, Parachordodidae. The transcript is spliced from 5 exons. The record is from RefSeq and is a predicted model, not a curated record.
CUAGUGGACCCUAACCUAUAAUUCAAUGUUAACAAUUUAGAUAUAAUCAAUUUGGUAAUGUAAUUUUAGAAAACAAAAUUACUAAUAAAAAAUCCAAAAGAGGACAUGAUAUUCUAUGUUUUAAUGAUUUGGAAUAUACAUUGCAUAGAGUAAUUAAUUCCAAAUCAUAUUACCGAUGUAGAAGAAGAAGUUGUUCUGGACGGGGUAUUUUUCAAUCAGUAAGUUCACAGAAACUCAGGAUCAUACCUUAGAACAAUGUAAAUCCCCUAUUGUCAAUAACCUUCUACUUAUGUCUGAUAGUCAACCAAUAACUCAAUUCCAAUUAUCUCAACAAAUUAUACAACCUUCAUUAUCAAACUAUCAGCUUACUCAAUCUCAAAUUCUAGCAAUGCCCAACAUGCAGUCUGCUAAUACCAUAUCAAGCAAUAUGUUUACUCAGUCUCAGUUCUUUGUUACAAACUCUCAACCAACUUUAACUAGUAUCAUCAAUUAUUAUCUUUUUAUAUUCAUUACUUUUAGUUAAUAUAUUUGCUCAAUCUCAACCCCUAGUAACACCUAACAUGCAACCUCUUAAUGCCAUAUCAAGUUUAACAAGAAUGACUCUAAAAAAAACAAAUUCCAAAUAUAUCCUAAAAGAAAGAAAUUUGGAAAAGCUGACUACACAAUAUAAUAAUCAUAUUAUUAAUAAAUUGGAGUUUGC